RNAcentral lists this long non-coding RNA (473 nucleotides) under Bos taurus (domestic cattle). RNAcentral describes it as "long non-coding RNA NONBTAT020286". Lineage: Eukaryota; Metazoa; Chordata; Mammalia; Artiodactyla; Bovidae. The record is from RNAcentral.
GAAUGGAUAAUGACAUUUUUAUUUAGGUUAAUGUGAUAUGAGAUGGGGCAUGUAAUACGAAAAAUGUUUUAAAAAACAGUGCGGAGAAAAUACUAUAAGACAGUGGAGCAUAAUCUGUCUGUUUGCCAAUAGCCACCAUUUCAGGUUUUCUUCCUUGUACCCAAGCAGUUACGGAAUAUUUACUCUUACACGAGUUGCAUACAAACAAAAGCUCUCUUUGCUGGGCUUGCAAUCAUCUUUAUACAAUCCACAAACCCCACAGUUCUUUCCCUAGAUUUGCAGACAAGCAGGCCUAGGUGGCUUGUGCAAACACACAGGCACAGAUGAACAUACAAUGCUAUCAUCUCACAGAUCUGAACAAAAGACUCUCAUUUGGUUGUUCUGUUUCAUCUUCUUCGUAGGAUAAUGAAUGCUUCCUAUUUUUGUUUAUCCCACAUUUCUUCAUAAAGCAUACAUGUUACAUUUACAAUCAG